This 266-nucleotide ribosomal RNA is filed under the name uncultured bacterium. RNAcentral's name for it is "partial 16S ribosomal RNA". It matches the Rfam family "Bacterial small subunit ribosomal RNA", at positions 88 to 354 of the family's 1533-position model. The record is from RNAcentral.
UGACUGAGCGGCGGACGGGUGAGUAACGCGUGGGUAACCUGCCUCAUACAGGGGGAUAACAGUUAGAAAUGACUGCUAAUACCGCAUAAGACCACAGGGCCGCAUGGCCCGGUGGUAAAAACUCCGGUGGUAUGAGAUGGACCCGCGUCUGAUUAGCUGGUUGGUGGGGUAACGGCCUACCAAGGCGACGAUCAGUAGCCGACCUGAGAGGGUGACCGGCCACAUUGGGACUGAGACACGGCCCAAACUCCUACGGGAGGCAGCAG